GAAAAAAUACCUUUUUUUGAAAUUUCCGGCCACCGUGUACGGUGGCCGGCGCGACGCCGGUGUGACGCCGGUGCGGGGGGGCCUUGGCCGGAAUCUGGACUUAGUCCAGAGAGUUUUUUUUUCUUUCUUCUGUUUUUUUUUCUUUUCAAUGUUCAAAUGAUUUUUUUUCUCAAAACACUAAUUUUUAUACCCUGGUGAAACGGCGCCGUUUUGGCUCAGCUCCAAAACACCCAAAACGACGUCGUUUCACUCCCAGUCCUGCGCAGUGACCCGACCCAGGGGGAGGAUCCGCGUGUUUUCUU
Molecule: long non-coding RNA, 302 nt
Filed under: Gossypium raimondii (Peruvian cotton)
Lineage: Eukaryota; Viridiplantae; Streptophyta; Magnoliopsida; Malvales; Malvaceae
Description: long non-coding RNA (GRAI_LNC010618)
Source: RNAcentral